Homo sapiens (human) is the source of this 1769-nucleotide long non-coding RNA. Ensembl annotates it as glioblastoma down-regulated RNA. Its record names the gene GLIDR. Lineage: Eukaryota; Metazoa; Chordata; Mammalia; Primates; Hominidae. The record is from Ensembl.
AACUGAAGGGCACUGACUGGGUCACUGGUGAAGUUCCCCGCAGGAACUGAGUCAGACCCCAUCUCAGGGCCCUGCACAAGAUAGGUGCCUGCUCUAAGGCGUGGACCCUCGCCACAGCCCUGGCCCGUCUUGACGGGCGAGGGUUACUGUACUUGUCCCAACCGUACAGAUGAGAAAGCUGAGACUCAGGGCCAGCAACCCGGGUCCCAGCGGAGCGCCCGGCACACGCCGACACUUCAGCACCAGUGGCGGUGGCCACCACUGUGGGCGGAGAUGGCUGCGACGCGUGCGCAGAUCUCGAUCCCAAACUCCCUCCUGCCAGAAUCUGGACCCGAAUCCACCCAUUGCCCGUUUUCCGCUGCCGCUGGAGAGAAUCUCUGAGGUCCCCAGGAGAGCCUGCCUGCACGGAAGAGACGCCUCCUCGGUGAAAUGGCCACCAGACCCAGGCUUUCUGGAAUGCAUUCAUUUUCUGCAGUUGAAAGGGACAAUCCCGGAUCUGAAAGAAAGAGCCACAGUGACUCCAAGAGUGGAGCCAGGGCAUGCUGGACACUGCAUAGCUAUGGCCACGUGUGUCACCUCCGAGGGAGAUGUGAGAGAAACGCAGAGGGAUCGCUUGUGACUGUGCCUUCUCGAUGUAUGAUGGACUGUUCUGCUCAAAUACAGGUUGGAAUGAUGGCUCACUGAAAACUGAAGAUGACAUGGAAGAUGAAAAGGGAGAUGAGAAAGUCCUGCCCAUUAAUGAGAGGAAGAUGGGCACAAUGCGGUGACCUCACAGGUCUCCAGGCCUCAGCUCAGCUCUGAUGAAGAGGCUCAUGUCAUACAGUCUCUUCAGAUGAUCACAGAGAAAAACGUGGUGACAGAGAGGCAGAUGUUUUACUGUUUCCACUUCUGGAACUUGUUGCAGGGUAUGAAGAGGGUCAGCACCAGAGAAGAUAUAGAAUAUCAUGUCUGCAAUAGAUGAAGCCAUCAAAGGAUGGCUUCACUUCACCACCAGGCAGCACUGACCAACUUACGGCAAUAAAUCCCGCAGACCAGAAUUACACCCAUCAAAUGCCUCACUCACCAUAUGUCAGCCCAGAAGACUCUUGCAGUGGUGAGCCAGUCUCUUUAUCCACCAAGCCUGACCCAGCAGGCAGGAGAGGCCCAGUACCAAGAUGAUCAUCCACAAUAACCUGCACACUGCAUCGAGGACGGAGGCCAGCCCUAACAGCCCGCGGCCCUCAGGAGGGAGAGGCAGUAAAGGGCUCCUUCUCUCUUUGUCCUGAUGAAUGGGCAUUGCACUAGAAAGAUGAACAUUAGGAGCAGAUUAUCAGAGCCUUGGUCCAGCCACCAUCUCCUCUAUGAUGACCCAGAUGGGCAAACCUUCUGAGGGCAAAGGUCCAACCAACAUCCUGGGUGGCUGGCAUUUUCUGAAUUUCUAUAGCUCAUCACAAAGUGCAGCAAGAAUGGGAGUAUUUGGUGCACCUUGAUUUUGCAGUUGCCUCUGAUGGCCAAGAGACUUAGGGCCAAAGAUUUCUCCCGACCCACGAUCCAGGUCAUAUUUCUGCGGCACAGCUGUGACCCUCAUCCCAACUACAGCCACUGGCACAAUAUCCAGUAAUAUUUGCAAAUGAUUAUGCUAACAUCAGGUUAUAAAAGCUUGUUGUUUUUAAUUUGAGUUAUAUUUUUAAAAUACAAAAUGUCUUGUUUUUUAUGUUUGUGUUCAUGUGGUACAUUUUCCAGGAUAAGAUGGGCUGUGCGGUAAUGGCAAAUAAACCCUCCAAGUCUCA